GACGAAGGAUGCAAGCGUUAUCCGGAUUCAUUGGGUUUAAAGGGAGCGUAGGCGGUUUAGUAAGUCAGUGGUGAAAUCUCUCAGCUUAACUGAGAAAUUGCCAUUGAUACUGCUGAACUUGAGUACAGUUGCCGUUGACGGAAUAUGACAUGUAGUGGUGAAAUACAUAGAGAUGUCAUAGAACACCGAUUGCGAAGGCAGUUGACGAAGCUGUAACUGACGCUGAGGCUCGAAAGUGCGGGGAUCAAACAGG
Molecule: ribosomal RNA, 253 nt
Filed under: uncultured bacterium
Lineage: Bacteria
Description: partial 16S ribosomal RNA
Rfam family: Bacterial small subunit ribosomal RNA
Source: RNAcentral